Molecule: long non-coding RNA, 2182 nt
Organism: Pomacea canaliculata
Lineage: Eukaryota; Metazoa; Mollusca; Gastropoda; Architaenioglossa; Ampullariidae
Exons: 8
Source: RefSeq, a predicted model, not a curated record
ACUCGGGUGUGAUGCCUAUCACGCGGGUAUCAUCGAUAACAGAAACCAGAUGAUGCCAUACUUCGUCCCCAGCUGCUGGGUAGUUUGCCGGUAUGCCUGGUCUAUAUAUGUCUAUGCUGUUUAGUGGUGCACUCAGGUAAAGUAACAGACAAUAUCCUCCAUUCCCUACACAAUUUGUUAAAAUCUCAUUUUUAAACCUUUAACAACACACACACACAUACACACACACAACACACAAAUAUUGGUUAACAUUCCACCACUGUUAAAACUUUACUGACCAAAAUACAAGUAAUGUAUCUUCUUACUAUAUUCAUAACUAUAAUAAGUGCAAGUUAAUAACGUAAACAAAUAAGCCACGAGAUUAGCUCAGAUUGUUAUUAUUUAGCUUGGUGACCUAGAACAGUUAAUAGUGUGUGUGUGUGUGUUUUUUUAUAUAUGUAUUUAAGCAGAUGUAACAUCUACCUAAGAAUGAGAGAGUAAAACCAAAGAAUCCCCGCUAAAGUUUAUCCCUUUUUAUCUUUAGUUCAAAGUGUUUAUAUACUUUGAUUUAUUUGAUUCUAUACACAAUGACAUGAUAUGCUUUAAAAGUCUAGAAAAAUCCGAGAACAAAUGAGUGAGGCAGAACAUGUGAUUUUGAUGUAUCAGCUGUUACAGACUGAUCACACUCUGUGUGUGGGACUCUAUAAAGAUAGAAAUGUGUGUAUAUGUAUAUAUUUUCUGAAUAUCUGGAUGGGUAAAACAAUAAAAAAUCUUAAACAGAAAAUCCUUUCCAUAUUAAAAUAGUUCUUUCAAAACUAGACAUGACUAUGAUGGUUCAUCAGCACUCUGUCUUCCGGUAUCAACUCCUUGGGUGCCAAUACUGUGGAGGACCUCCUGGCACGACCUCUGAGAGGCUACAAGGAUGCAACUGUAACUUUUAUUGCUAAAAUCACUGUGCUGCUGUUUGGAGGUCUCACUAUUGGUCUCGCAUACCUCGCUCGCACCCUGCGUGGUCCAGUCACACAGAUAAACAAUACAGUGAUGGAGCCUGCGGUGGUCCAAUCAUUGGAGUCUUUUUUUUGGCAGGAAUGGUUCCCUGGGGAAAUAAAUAUGGCGCCAUCGGAGGUGGACUUCUUGGUAUCGCCGUCAACCUGUGGCUAACUGUUGGUUGCGAGCUGUACGGCGCCCCUACACGUGCCUUACCCCCGGGGCCGACACACAACUGCCCAAGAAAUAACAGUUACUCGUCCUCCAUUAUUUAUAACCUUACGACUGUAGAUAUCUCCAUGACAGAUGUGGUGAUGUCUACGGACACGAAUCCUAACAGUAACAUCACGAACGUCUCCCACGCACAUCGAGGUAACUCGUUCUCCAUUUAUGACAUUUCUUACCUGUGGCUCGCAGUCAUCGGGUUCUUGGUAACUUUCAUCAGCUGGAAUCAUUAUCAGUUUCAUCACAGGCCCCACAAACAAGGCUACUCUCGAUCCAAAGCUGGUAUUCCCUUUUACCCGGAAAAUGUUCCACAUGAAGGAACCUUCCCAGGAGGCCGAAGAUUCCUCUAACGUCAUAUUCUUGAAGACCUGCGAAAAUUCGGUGGACAAAUUUAUAGAAAAGACUGACACCAUGGCCACGGAAGGCAAGAUCGACAGUAUAAAACAAGAUCAUCUCAGUUGCCAACCCUUGAUAUAGCGACUGCUGGAAUUCGUCUGUGCGCCGAGAACCUUCAACAUUUUUACAUUCAUUUCUUUUCAUUGUUUCUUCAUUCAUUUUUUCAUUCUUAGAGCAUUAGAGUAGUGCCUGGGAUUAACCUUAAAACUAAAGUUUCAUAGACUGUAAGAACACCUCUGUCCUGUCAAAGGCAGCAGAUAAGUAUUAAAAUAUAUGUGUAAACAUAUUACUGGUUCACAGGACAAGUGAUGUGUAUAUCCACGCAUUUCUUUUCUGACUCAUUACGAAAGCUAAGGUUUGGAUGAGUACAACGGCGUGAGGCAGCAUAGUUAUUACUACAACAUUCAUUAAUACCUAGUAACCACUUCUUAAUAUCUAUUAAGCACUUUUUAAAUCCUCUUCAACACUCACUAAUUAUUCAUCAUAUUUAUUUCAUUAGAAGUAUUAAUACCUAUUCAGCACCAAAUCUUAUCCUGCGUGAACUGUAAUUUAGUCAGCGAAACGGAAAAAGAUAAUAUAAUUGUAAAUAAAAGAC